RNAcentral lists this transfer RNA (78 nucleotides) under Candidatus Atabeyarchaeum deiterrae. Its description in RNAcentral is "tRNA-Ala". It matches the Rfam family "tRNA". From Rfam's summary of the family: Transfer RNA (tRNA) molecules are approximately 80 nucleotides in length. Their secondary structure includes four short double-helical elements and three loops (D, anti-codon, and T loops). The record is from RNAcentral.
GGGCCGGUAGCUCAGUUUGGAAGAGCGCCACGUUGGCAUCGUGGAGAGUCGCGAGUUCAAAUCUCGCCCGGUCCACCA